GGCCGACUAGCUCAGCUGGUUAGAGCGUCGUGCUAAUAUUCAUACAGAACGCGAAGGUCUUGGGUUCGAUCCCCACGUUGGCCA
Non-coding RNA from Lentinula novae-zelandiae, 84 nucleotides. Lineage: Eukaryota; Fungi; Basidiomycota; Agaricomycetes; Agaricales; Omphalotaceae. The record is from the annotation of a GenBank genome assembly.